RNAcentral lists this ribosomal RNA (429 nucleotides) under Bacteroidota bacterium. Its description in RNAcentral is "Bacteroidetes bacterium partial 16S ribosomal RNA". It matches the Rfam family "Bacterial small subunit ribosomal RNA", at positions 355 to 776 of the family's 1533-position model. The record is from RNAcentral. Lineage: Bacteria; Pseudomonadati; Bacteroidota.
UAGGGAAUCUUCCGCAAUGGACGCAAGUCUGACGGAGCAACGCCGCGUGAGUGAAGAAGGAUUUCGGUUCGUAAAACUCUGUUGUUAGAGAAGAACAGCGCAUAGAGUAACUGUUAUGCGUGUGACGGUAUCUAACCAGAAAGCCACGGCUAACUACGUGCCAGCAGCCGCGGUAAUACGUAGGUGGCAAGCGUUGUCCGGAUUUAUUGGGCGUAAAGCGAGCGCAGGCGGUCAAUUAAGUCUGAUGUGAAAGCCCCCGGCUCAACCGGGGAGGGUCAUUGGAAACUGGUUAACUUGAGUGCAGAUGAGGGAGGUGGAAUUCCAUGUGUAGCGGUGAAAUGCGUAGAUAUAUGGAGGAACACCAGUGGCGAAGGCGACUCUCUGGUCUGUAACUGACGCUGAGGCUCGAAAGCGUGGGUAGCAAACAGG